UGGGGAAUUUUGGACAAUGGGCGAAAGCCUGAUCCAGCCAUUCCGCGUGCAGGAUGAAGGCCCUCGGGUUGUAAACUGCUUUUGUACGGAACGAAAAGGCUUUCUCUAAUACAGGGAGCUCAUGACGGUACCGUAAGAAUAAGCACCGGCUAACUACGUGCCAGCAGCCGCGGUAAUACGUAGGGUGCAAGCGUUAAUCGGAAUUACUGGGCGUAAAGCGUGCGCAGGCGGUUAUGUAAGACAGAUGUGAAAUCCCCGGGCUCAACCUGGGAACUGCAUUUGUGACUGCAUAGCUAGAGUACGGUAGAGGGGGAUGGAAUUCCGCGUGUAGCAGUGAAAUGCGUAGAUAUGCGGAGGAACACCGAUGGCGAAGGCAAUCCCCUGGACCUGUACUGACGCUCAUGCACGAAAGCGUGGGGAGCAAACAGGAUUAGAUACCCAGGUAGUCCCUGAGCGGGCUGGCAAGGCGCAU
RNAcentral lists this ribosomal RNA (472 nucleotides) under uncultured bacterium. Its description in RNAcentral is "bacterial SSU rRNA". It matches the Rfam family "Bacterial small subunit ribosomal RNA", at positions 355 to 825 of the family's 1533-position model. The record is from RNAcentral.